Molecule: transfer RNA, 40 nt
Filed under: Alstroemeria aurea
Lineage: Eukaryota; Viridiplantae; Streptophyta; Magnoliopsida; Liliales; Alstroemeriaceae
Description: partial tRNA-Phe
Rfam family: tRNA
About the family: Transfer RNA (tRNA) molecules are approximately 80 nucleotides in length. Their secondary structure includes four short double-helical elements and three loops (D, anti-codon, and T loops). Further hydrogen bonds mediate the characteristic L-shaped molecular structure. tRNAs have two regions of fundamental functional importance: the anti-codon, which is responsible for specific mRNA codon recognition, and the 3' end, to which the tRNAs corresponding amino acid is attached (by aminoacyl-tRNA synthetases). tRNAs cope with the degeneracy of the genetic code in two manners: having more than one tRNA (with a specific anti-codon) for a particular amino acid; and 'wobble' base-pairing, i.e. permitting non-standard base-pairing at the 3rd anti-codon position.
Source: RNAcentral
GUUGGGAUAGCUCAGUCGGUAGAGCANAGGACUGAAAAUC